RNAcentral lists this ribosomal RNA (293 nucleotides) under uncultured prokaryote. Its description in RNAcentral is "partial 16S ribosomal RNA". It matches the Rfam family "Archaeal small subunit ribosomal RNA", at positions 455 to 747 of the family's 1478-position model. The record is from RNAcentral.
GUGCCAGCCGCCGCGGUAAUACCGGCAGCCCGAGUGAUGGCCGAUUUUAUUGGGCCUAAAGCGUUCGUAGCCUGCCAGACAGGUCCGUCGGGAAAUCUGCACGCCCAACGUGCAGGCGUCCGGCGGAAACCAGCUGGCUUGGGGCCGGAAGACCCAGGGGGUACGUCCGGGGUAGGAGUGAAAUCCUGUAAUCCCGGACGGACCGCCGGUGGCGAAAGCGCCCUGGGAGGACGGACCCGACGGUGAGGGACGAAAGCUAGGGUCACGAACCGGAUUAGAAACCCCUGUAGUCC